UGGGGAAUCUUCCGCAAUGGACGAAAGUCUGACGGAGCAACGCCGCGUGAGUGAAGACGGCCUUCGGGUUGUAAAGCUCUGUUAUUCGGGAAGAACGAUUCGUUUGUGAACAAUGAACGGAAGUGACGGUACCGAAAGAGAAAGCCACGGCUAACUACGUGCCAGCAGCCGCGGUAAUACGUAGGUGGCAAGCGUUGUCCGGAAUUAUUGGGCGUAAAGAGCGCGUAGGCGGUAUGGUAAGUCUGUCUUAGAAGUGCGGGGCUUAACCCCGUGAGGGGACAGAGACUGACAUACUGGAGUCUCGGAGAGGAAAGCGGAAUUCCUAGUGUAGAGGUGAAAUGCGUAGAGAUUAGGAAGAACACCGGUGGCGAAGGCGGCUUUCUGGACGAACACUGACGCUGAGGCGCGAAAGCGUGGGGAGCGAACAGG
This 429-nucleotide ribosomal RNA is filed under the name Fusobacteriota bacterium. RNAcentral describes it as "Fusobacteria bacterium partial 16S ribosomal RNA". It matches the Rfam family "Bacterial small subunit ribosomal RNA", at positions 355 to 776 of the family's 1533-position model. The record is from RNAcentral. Lineage: Bacteria; Fusobacteriati; Fusobacteriota.